CACGUAGGGUGCGAGCGUUGUCCGGAAUUAUUGGGCGUAAAGGGCUCGUAGGCGGUGUGUCGCGUCGGCCGUGAAAACCUGCAGCUUAACUGUGGGCGUGCGGUCGAUACGGGCAUCACUGGAGUUCGGCAGGGGAGACUGGAAUUCCUGGUGUAGCGGUGAAAUGCGCAGAUAUCAGGAGGAACACCGGUGGCGAAGGCGGGUCUCUGGGCCGAUACUGACGCUGAGGAGCGAAAGCGUGGGGAGCAAACAGG
Molecule: ribosomal RNA, 254 nt
Filed under: uncultured bacterium
Lineage: Bacteria
Description: partial 16S ribosomal RNA
Rfam family: Bacterial small subunit ribosomal RNA
Source: RNAcentral